RNAcentral lists this long non-coding RNA (2276 nucleotides) under Salmo salar (Atlantic salmon). RNAcentral's name for it is "lncRNA (ENSSSAG00000087325.1, ENSSSAG00000094192.1)". The record is from RNAcentral. Lineage: Eukaryota; Metazoa; Chordata; Actinopteri; Salmoniformes; Salmonidae.
UGGGACUGUUGGGAGAGGAGGUGGUUCCCAUCAGGAGCAGACUGGGACCGUUGGGAGAGGAGGUGGUUCCCAUCAGGAGCAGACUGGGACCGUUGUGGGAGGAGGUGGUUCCCAUCAGAAGCAGACUGGGACCGUUGGGGAAGGAGGUGGUUCCCGUCAGGAGCAGACUGGGACCGUUGUGGGAGGAGGUGGUUCCCAUCAGGAGCAGACUGGUACCGUUGGGGGAGGAGGUGGUUCCCGUCAGGAGCAGACUGGGACCGUUGGGAGAGGAGGUGGUUCCCAUCAGGAGCAGACUGGGACCGUUGGGGGAGGAGGUGGUUCCCAUCAGGAACAGACUGGGACCGUUGGGGGAGGAGGUGGUUCCCAUCAGGAGCAGACUGGGACCGUUGGGGGAGGAGGUGGUUCCCAUCAGGAACAGACUGGGACCGUUGGGGGAGGAGGUGGUUCCCAUCAGGAGCAGACUGGGACCGUUGGGGGAGGAGGUGGUUCCCAUCAGGAACAGACUGGGACCGUUGGGGGAGGAGGUGGUUCCCGUCAGGAGCAGACUGGGACCAUUGGGGGAGGAGGUGGUUCCCAUCAGGAACAGACUGGGACCGUUGUGGGAGGAGGUGGUUCCCGUCAGGAGCAGACUGGGACCGUUGGGAGAGGAGGUGGUUCCCAUCAGGAGCAGACUGGGACCGUUGGGGGAGGAGGUGGUUCCCAUCAGGAACAGCCUUGGACCGUUGUGGGAGGAGGUGGUUCCCGUCAGGAGCAGACUGGGACCGUUGUGGGAGGAGGUGGUUCCCAUCAGGAGCAGACUGGGACCGUUGUGGGAGGAGGUGGUUCCCAUCAGGAGCAGACUGGGACCGUUGGGGAAGGAGGUGGUUCCCGUCAGGAGCAGACUGGGACCGUUGUGGGAGGAGGUGGUUCCCAUCAGGAGCAGACUGGGACCGUUGGGAGAGGAGGUGGUUCCCAUCAGGAGCAGACUGGGACUGUUGGGAGAGGAGGUGGUUCCCAUCAGGAACAGACUGGGACCGUUGGGAGAGGCGGUGGUUCCCAUCAGGAGCAGACUGGGACUGUUGGGAGAGGAGGUGGUUCCCAUCAGGAGCAGACUGGGACCGUUGGGGAAGGAGGUGGUUCCCAUCAGAAGCAGACUGGGACCGUUGGGAGAGGAGGUGGUUCCCAUCAGGAGCAGACUGGGACUGUUGGGAGAGGAGGUGGUUCCCAUCAGGAGCAGACUGGGACUGUUGGGAGAGGAGGUGGUUCCCAUCAGGAGCAGACUGGGACCGUUGGGGAAGGAGGUGAGGAGGAUUCGUUUUUGUUGUUGCAUGAUUUAAAAAAUAUAUUUAAAAUUUUUUAUUUAACCUUUAUUUAACAAGGCAAGUCAGUUAAGAACAAAUUCUUAUUUACAAUGACGGCCAAACCCGGCCAAACCCGGACGACGCUGGGCCAAUUGUGCGCCGCCCUAUGGGACUCCCAAUCACGGCCAGAUGUGAUGCAGCCUGGAUUCAAACCAGGGAGUGUAGUGACGCCUCUUGCUCCCGAAUGUGGCACAGUGGUCUAUCAGCAUAAAAAUACAUGCAGACAGAUGAAAGUUAAAUCAAUUCAACCACUCAUGAAGAUGCACUGUUACCCAGUCUAUUGUCAACUAAACUAAAUGUUCUGUUUGUUGCCUGCCUUUUUCUAAGGUACCAUCCGUUUACAUCAUGUUUUUUUGGUUUUUUUUCUAACACAACUUUUGUUUACAUUUUAUAAGCUCAUACAACUGCAUUUUAAAAUCAUCAAAGAUGACACUCAAGUUUACCAACGUGUUUCCAUUGUGCUCUUGUUUAGGUGCCUAUGAGGAUUAGGCUGAGGUUAGAGGUGGCGCCUCCUAUGAGGAGUAGACGGGUGGAGACUACAGUGCCUAUGAGGAGCAGGCUGGGAGCCAUGGUCAAAGAGGAGAUCCAGCCAGCUUCUCCACGCAUGGUGCAGCCAGCCAGGUAUAUCAUACUGACUGCCCUCUUCGUGACUCAAGACUGCUGGCUCAGAUAUUUUAUUUUCACAUUGUUGUAGCAGCAGGGUUCCAGCAUGGGUCACUGAAAACAAUCUGGCCCCAUAAUAUAUCUGAUGCCAGUCUGAUCUAAGCGGACUGAUGGCCAUAGGCUAGUUAGCUAACCAUGCACCUAAACUAGGCUGGAAACUAACAAAACCAUAAUGCUUUUGUAUGUAUGUCCCCCUCUCCCUUCUGUCUCCCUUCUGUCUCCCUUCUGUCCCCCUCUCCCUUCUGUCCCCCUCUCCCUUCUGUCUCCCUUCUG